UCCAACACAGUUGUGCUUAGCGGUCUGAUUAGCUGUCCGACAGUGUUUUGCGAUGGCUAGAAGGCAUCCGUGUGCGGUGCUCGGCUGCAAGAGUGCCGACUGGAAAAACAGAAUGAUGCAGCACCGGCUGCUUCAUGAUGACACCCUGCGCAAUGCCUGGACUGAGCGCAUUGGGGCUGUUUCAAUGAGUUAAUCUAGUAACGUUGCAAUGAAUGCAUAUUUUGCUCACUUGUGUAGCUCGCCUUCUAUUUGCAUGCUGAGCUCCCGGAAAGCGAAGUACGCCGCCUCGAGGACUCCAGGAUUUGGACAUGGUGGGGAAAUGUAGGUUGCGUGUAAUGCAGUCAUUGUUUGCUUUACGACUUCUGUCACCUCCCUGCUGAAUGCUCCCUCCCUGAAUGGACUAACAACCAGUGGGCUUUGAAAACAGCAGAACAUACCAACCAAUAUUGUCACCACGAUCUGGGGUAGGCGGCAAUGGUGGCAGUUAACCUCUAGCGGAGGUGCUUCGCCACAGCGGUUUACCGUACGGAUCCAUUAUAUAUUGGUGAGCCUUUCUAGACGCGCACACAACACAGGGUCCACAGCGGCAGGCUUCAAAGGAGCAUGGGCCGGCCCGGCAGCAACAGCGGGCAGCCGAGAUGCACAGAGUCGCGUUAACUGGAAGCUGACAUGUGUUUUGAAAAGCGCGUUGACGAUGACAUAUGUCACAUGACAGCUGGAGGAGCCCUCGGUGAGGAGAAGACCAGCUGACGAAGGGAGAGUAGUGAAGGAAAGAGCAAAAUGAGCGAGAGCCGCGUUUCGACCAUCAAACGCGUGUAACUCCGCUAUUACUGCACCAUUUCGAAAAAUUCUCGCUGCUACAUGUUUUUUCAAGACUUGUGGACAGCUGCAACACCACACCUAAAUUUUGACCUCUGGGUGGUUCAGGGGCCCUUUAAGCCGCAUGCCCUUUAUGUACAUGAGCCUCAACAAUUUUGUUCAUUUUUUACAGGAAUCUAAAUAAUUUCAGAGGAACCUACAACGUAUAGUAGGACCCGUCUAAUAAGUUUUCCAUGGGACCGCUACAAAAAAACGCAAUACCCGGGAAACGUAUUAUGUGAACAUGAGCUUAUACAUGAUGCAACCGUGCUGUUAAAUAUUAAAACAAAGGCACUACCCAUUGCUCAGCUGCUGACAGCUAAUGAGGACUCGACGGGGAUUGCCUAAAGUCUGAAUAACUGGGAGUCCAAUGUAUCGAAUUUGGGAGAGAAUGAGUAACUAACGUAAAAUGAGUAACUAUUAUUUUUAAAUGUGAGCAGCAUUAUGGGCUCCGUGUCGCAGAAAAUCCGCUGUCGGAGUCAAUUCAUUCGUGAGCGAAAGUUUCCAUGUCUAUACUAUAUAGUAUACAUAUAUGUAUAUAACAGUGCAGCUUAUCCACGCUGAACGGUAUGGCCUUCGACACAGCACAAGAUGGAAGUACUCCGUGUCUUGUCGCCUUUCGGCAUGAUGGGAGCUACACAGCAAAGAAGGCAAGAGAGCAAAGCCCUGGCCAAAGGGACUCAUCACGGCACCCAGCGGCGGCCACGGCAGACUAUGCUACGCAGCACACAGCUGCCAUUUGGAGGCCAUGUGCAGCUCAUGCAAAUACACACAGUGGAAAGAUGAAAUGAUUCUGUUUUUCUGAGAACGCAGACAUAUAUACUUUUCAUUUAUUUAACUCAGAAUUAGCAAUCAUGCAUUACUGAGAAUGCUCUUGCGAUCACAAAACGAGGCAAUAGCAUUGGUGGGCCGGCAGCUUUCGAUGACGCUGCACGAUGGCAUUGUGGAAGUGCGAGCAAGAAAUUUUUUGCCGGUUUUGACGCGUGAUUGUAAAUUCCCUGCUGCAUGCAGUGCAGUAAUAUUUGGCUCACAUGCUCACACCAGCCUCCACCACAGAUAGGCAACAUUUUCUUAGUAUUUUCAAAGAGUGUUUCAAGGCCCCUUCAAAUUUCAGCAUGGCAUUAAGCAACUGUUUGAAAUGCAGAUUAUUACAACUCAUUUUAUUUUUGACUAACUGCUAUGUAAUAAAUAUUAAGGGCACUACUUGAGCUACAUAACCAUAACAAGCCAACAGACCCAGGAUCUGAAGUUAGCCCACAAUGUCGGGUCUAAGAAAUCCCACUCUUAAUGUGAAACAUUUUACAGGAGGGGUAGCAGAUGUUUGUGGAGCGGUUGUGCAGCAGGAAGCCCAGGCAGAGUGUAGAAGGAUGCUACCAGGUGAGCUACAGAGGGGGAGGGAACUCCAUGGAGACUGUGAAGUGUAGGUGCACGCUGGGAGUGGUUCUGUGCGAGCAGUGACAUCAUGCCAUGUGAACCCCUCAAUGCUUGCCCAAAUGUUGAUAGCACACGAUCAGCUCUAUUUGCACAGUCAUACUGCCCUUGGACCGCACAUGGCUACCUGCUCUGCAUUGCUCGCUUCCUCUUUAUAUGCACGUGGCAUGAUUUGCUAGUGUGUGAAGUGAGCGUGAUGUCACUAGAGUGUUUUAGUUGAGCGUGUUUACGCUCCACUAAGCAGCUAAGCGGAGCGGAAGUGCGAAUGCGCAUGCGCCAUCCGCUUAGCCGUAAGCGGGCUAGCGGAGCGAGGAACACGGUCCGCUGAGAAGCUGCCUGAGCGGAGCGCUUUGGCUAGCGUUGGCGUCAGGAAGGAUUGGAUUGGAUGCAGAAAGCAAGCGCACUGGCUAUCACGUGGCGUUCCCCAAGACGGCACUUUAUAUUCCAUUAGGUAAAAUGGACCGGUAACGCAUUACAAGUGCACUUCUAGAUACUUCAUUUAGAAAUAAGUUAUAUAUACACAUAUGUGUUUUACUGUAUAAAACUGAUCAAUAGGUGUUUUUAUUUUCUUUCAUUACCCUGAAUUUGGCCAGAGGACGCUGCAAGUAUGAAAGGUCCGCUCCGCUAUGCUUAACGUAUAACUAAAACGUGAAAAUCGCCCGCCGCUCCGCUUUGGCUUAGCGGAGCCACUCGGAGCGGAGCGUACCGUAAAGACACUCAACUAAAACACUCUACUGAUUUAGCCAGUUGCCAAGAAAAAAUGCUCACUGUGCUGCUGAGAUGCCCGAGAAAAACAUACCAAUGCUUUUCAACCAACUAGCCCAACUAUCUGCUCUCCUGAGGCCUGUGCAUUUAGAAGCUGCGUGGAUGUAUAAGCGAUGGUGAGGAUGGGUAAUAAAAGAUUGCCCAAUAGCUUAACACAGAUAACGGGCGAGAAAAGAGCGGCGGAAAUAAAUGGACUGGUAUAAAAUACGUAGGGUUAAGGAUUUGUACACCACAUAAUGGUCUCAAAUAAACCUCACUCAAGAGUAAUGUGCGAGGUUUUGCAGGUGUUAUUACGUUUAUAUUUAAUUAGCCAAACCUGACAGGCAAUUCCGUCAAAACUUUUGCCUUUCAAGGUUGGAUAUAAAUUAUUUUUCUUAAACAUACAGUAAGAGAUCACCAGAGUACAUGCAGUUUUGGAUGUAGGUGACCCCAUGACCAAAAAGUGCAACUGUGUCACAGAGUGUAUGCCCGCGUCCCUCUCGGGAUGGCCGCCAGUGCCGCCCCAGCUACAGCGCCGCUUGCACGGCGAUGGGAAGACAGCGGUCCCCAUUGUUCCAGUCUUGCCCGACCGUUUGGUCACGUGGGUCGCCUGAGCGCGACGGAGGGACGAGGCAGCUCGGGGAGCGGCAGAGUGGCUUGGAAGACGGAGGAGGGUGGUCGUGCACCGGGAGACAGCUGAAGAUGUGGUCGGCAGGCUAAAACCUCCUGGCCGAAGUCUUCGCCGUUCGACCUACAGACGGUGCAAGUCCGUCAGGAUCUUCGGCAGCGAGGUACCAGCAGCCCGACGCUCUUCAGACCGGGAUCUCGGCAAGCACGCCACAGUUAAGCCUCGUGUUCCAGCCCGCUCUCAGAGCUUUCCGCCAGACUGUAUUUUUUUAAUCGCGUUUAAUCUUUCAUUUAUUUAUCCAUCGCGUGUUUAUUUUUGUAUGUUCUGUUAGUGUAGUGUUGGCCCUAUUUAUUGUCGCGUGUAUUUUUCAUUUUUGUCGCGUAUUUUGUUUGUUAUUUCGCGAGUGUUAAUAGCUCCCACGUGGUGGGCUGAGUGUCGUGCGAGUGGCGUCAGGGCGUGCGUUGUGUGACCCGCACGCCUUCCGCGAACUAGGCCCCCCUGCUGGUAAUUUGUAUGUUCUUUUUUCGAGCAUGUCUCGCGCAUGAUUUUAUUGUAUUAAAUUGAGUGUGUGUGUUGUA
Molecule: long non-coding RNA, 4239 nt
Organism: Dermacentor andersoni
Lineage: Eukaryota; Metazoa; Arthropoda; Arachnida; Ixodida; Ixodidae
Source: RefSeq, a predicted model, not a curated record